CAUGUCAAAGUAGUCCUUGCGGCAAUAGGCUUUGCCAUCCUUCUCAUGAAAUCCUUCAGGUCCAAAGAAAACUCCACACUGGGCACAGAAAAAGUGUUCAGGGUGCCACGUCCUGUCCAAAGCCGUCACCACUUUAUCAAGGAUUGGCCCAUUGCAGUAGUAGCAGCGAGGAGAGAAGAGGUUGUGAUAGUCCUUCUCACAGUAGGGCUGCCCAUCCCGCUCAAAGAAGUUCCGUGAUCCAAUCUCCUCCUGGCAGUGGGUGCAGACGAAGUGCUCAGGGUGCCAGGUCUUCCCCAUGGCUGUAACUACCUGUUGGGAAGACAGAUUAUGAAGGACAACUCCAUCUCACUCUCCCCAGACCACAUGACAAGACACCAGCUGGAGGUCAGCAAGAAUGGCAAGUUCUACUACUCAAGUGAG
Molecule: long non-coding RNA, 420 nt
Filed under: Gallus gallus (chicken)
Lineage: Eukaryota; Metazoa; Chordata; Aves; Galliformes; Phasianidae
Source: RNAcentral